GACGAACGCUGGCGGCGCGCCUAACACAUGCAAGUCGAACGGAGUCAAGAGGAGCUUGCUUUUCUUGACUUAGUGGCGAACGGGUGAGUAACGCGUGAGUAACCUGCCCUGGAGUGGGGGACAAAAGUUGGAAACGACUGCUAAUACCGCAUAAGCCCACGGAUCUGCAUGGAUCUGCGGGAAAAGGAUUUAUUCGCUCUAGGAUGGACUCGCGUCCAAUUAGCUAGUUGGUGAGGUAACGGCCCACCAAGGCGACGAUUGGUAGCCGGACUGAGAGGUUGAACGGCCACAUUGGGACUGAGACACGGCCCAGACUCCUACGGGAGGCAGCAGUGGGGGAUAUUGCACAAUGGGGGAAACCCUGAUGCAGCGACGCCGCGUGGAGGAAGAAGGUUUUCGGAUUGUAAACUCCUGUCGUUAGGGACGAUAAUGACGGUACCUAACAAGAAAGCACCGGCUAACUACGUG
RNAcentral lists this ribosomal RNA (468 nucleotides) under uncultured bacterium. Its description in RNAcentral is "partial 16S ribosomal RNA". It matches the Rfam family "Bacterial small subunit ribosomal RNA", at positions 28 to 507 of the family's 1533-position model. The record is from RNAcentral.